Molecule: unclassified non-coding RNA, 327 nt
Filed under: soil metagenome
Description: partial contains 5.8S ribosomal RNA, internal transcribed spacer 2, and large subunit ribosomal RNA
Rfam family: 5.8S ribosomal RNA (bases 1-120)
Source: RNAcentral
GAUGAAGAACGUAGCGAAAUGCGAUACGUAAUGUGAAUUGCAGAAUUCAGUGAAUCAUCGAGUCUUUGAACGCACAUUGCGCCCCUUGGUAUUCCGGGGGGCAUGCCUGUUCGAGCGUCAUUAUAACCCCUCAAGCUCAGCUUGGUGUUGGGGCCUGCCGACUGGCAGCCCUUAAAAUCAGUGGCGGCGCCAUCUGGCUCUAAGCGUAGUAAUUUCUCUCGCUAUAGAGUCCCGGUGGAUGCUUGCCAGCAACCCCCAACUUUCUAUGGUUGACCUCGGAUCAGGUAGGGAUACCCGCUGAACUUAAGCAUAUCAAUAAGCGGAGGA